RNAcentral lists this ribosomal RNA (402 nucleotides) under uncultured bacterium. Its description in RNAcentral is "bacterial SSU rRNA". It matches the Rfam family "Bacterial small subunit ribosomal RNA", at positions 355 to 774 of the family's 1533-position model. The record is from RNAcentral.
UGGGGAAUCUUGCACAAUGGGGGAAACCCUGAUGCAGCGACGCCGCGUGAACGAUGAAGCCCUUCGGGGUGUAAAGUUCUUUCGACAGGAACGAUAAUGACGGUACCUGAGGAGGAAGCCACGGCUAACUACGUGCCAGCAGCCGCGGUAAUACGUAGGUGGCAAGCGUUGUCCGGAUUUACUGGGCGUAAAGGGAGCGUAGGCGGACUUUUAAGUGAGAUGUGAAAUACCCGGGCUCAACCUGGGUGCUGCAUUUCAAACUGGAAGUCUAGAGUGCAGGAGAGGAGAGUGGAAUUCCUAGUGUAGCGGUGAAAUGCGUAGAGAUUAGGAAGAACACCAGUGGCGAAGGCGACUCUCUGGACUGUAACUGACGCUGAGGCUCGAAAGCGUGGGGAGCAAACA